AGUGAACGCUGGCGGUAGGCCUAACACAUGCAAGUCGAACGGCAGCACAGGAGAGCUUGCUCUCUAGGUGGCGAGUGGCGGACGGGUGAGGAAUACAUCGGAAUCUGCCCAGUCGUGGGGGAUAACGUAGGGAAGCUUACGCUAAUACCGCAUACGACCUUCGGGUGAAAGAGGGGGAUCGCAAGACCUCUCGCGAUUGGAUGAGCCGAUGUCGGAUUAGCUAGUUGGCGGGGUAAUGGCCCACCAAGGCGACGAUCCGUAGCUGGUCUGAGAGGAUGAUCAGCCACACUGGAACUGAGACACGGUCCAGACUCCUACGGGAGGCAGCAGUGGGGAAUAUUGGACAAUGGGCGCAAGCCUGAUCCAGCCAUACCGCGUGGGUGAAGAAGGCCUUCGGGUUGUAAAGCCCUUUUGUUGGGAAAGAAAUCUUUCAGGCUAAUACCCUGGGAGGAUGACGGUACCCAAAGAAUAAGCACCGGCUAACUUCGUG
RNAcentral lists this ribosomal RNA (490 nucleotides) under uncultured bacterium. RNAcentral describes it as "partial 16S ribosomal RNA". It matches the Rfam family "Bacterial small subunit ribosomal RNA", at positions 29 to 507 of the family's 1533-position model. The record is from RNAcentral.